This is a non-coding RNA of Schistosoma mansoni, 46 nucleotides long. The record is from Rfam. Lineage: Eukaryota; Metazoa; Platyhelminthes; Trematoda; Strigeidida; Schistosomatidae.
GCACUGCUGAGGAGUCCCACAAUAGGACGAAACGGUAUUCCAGUGC